Molecule: ribosomal RNA, 643 nt
Filed under: uncultured Actinomycetes bacterium
Lineage: Bacteria; Bacillati; Actinomycetota; Actinomycetes
Description: bacterial SSU rRNA
Rfam family: Bacterial small subunit ribosomal RNA
Source: RNAcentral
CGCGGCCUAUCAGCUUGUUGGUGGGGUGAUGGCCUACCAAGGCGACGACGGGUAGCCGGCCUGAGAGGGUGUCCGGCCACACUGGGACUGAGAUACGGCCCAGACUCCUACGGGAGGCAGCAGUGGGGAAUAUUGCACAAUGGGCGCAAGCCUGAUGCAGCGACGCCGCGUGAGGGAUGACGGCCUUCGGGUUGUAAACCUCUUUCAAUAGGGACGAAGCGCAAGUGACGGUACCUGUAGAAGAAGCACCGGCCAACUACGUGCCAGCAGCCGCGGUAAUACGUAGGGUGCGAGCGUUGUCCGGAAUUACUGGGCGUAAAGAGCUCGUAGGUGGUUUGUCGCGUUGUUCGUGAAAACCUGAGGCUUAACCUUGGGCGUGCGGGCGAUACGGGCAGACUGGAGUACUGCAGGGGAGACUGGAAUUCCUGGUGUAGCGGUGGAAUGCGCAGAUAUCAGGAGGAGCACCGGUGGCGAAGGCGGGUCUCUGGGCAGUAACUGACGCUGAGGAGCGAAAGCGUGGGGAGCGAACAGGAUUAGAUACCCUGGUAGUCCACGCCGUAAACGGUGGGUACUAGGUGUGGGUUUCCUUCCUUGGGAUCCGUGCCGUAGCUAACGCAUUAAGUACCCCGCCUGGGGAGUACGG